Long non-coding RNA from Oncorhynchus keta (chum salmon), 461 nucleotides. RefSeq lists it as uncharacterized. The transcript is spliced from 4 exons. The record is from RefSeq and is a predicted model, not a curated record. Lineage: Eukaryota; Metazoa; Chordata; Actinopteri; Salmoniformes; Salmonidae.
GGGGAAGGAGACAGGGAUACUGGAGUGAUGGAGGUAGAUAUGUAUAGGGGGAAGGUGACAGGGAUACUGGAGUGAUGGAGGUAGAUAUGUAUAGGGGGAAGGAGACAGGGAUACUGGAGUGAUGGAGGUAGAUAUGUAUAGGGAGAAGGAGACAGGGAUACUGGAGUGAUGGAGGUAGAUAUGUAUAGGGGGAAGGAGACAGGGAUACUGGAGUGAUGGAGGUAGAUAUGUAUAGGGGGAAGGAGACAGGGAUACUGGAGUGAUGGAGGUAGAUAUGUAUAGGGGGAAGGAGACAGGGAUACUGGAGUGAUGGAGGUAGAUAUGUAUAGGGGAAGGAGACAGGGAUACUGGAGUGAUGGAGGUAGAUAUGUAUAGGGGAAGGAGACAGGGAUACUGGAGUGAUGGAGGUAGAUAUGUAUAGGGGAAGGAGACAGGGAUACUGGAGUGAUGGAGGUAGAUAU